This 467-nucleotide ribosomal RNA is filed under the name uncultured bacterium. Its description in RNAcentral is "partial 16S ribosomal RNA". It matches the Rfam family "Bacterial small subunit ribosomal RNA", at positions 28 to 507 of the family's 1533-position model. The record is from RNAcentral.
GAUGGACGCUGACAGCAUGCUUAACACAUGCAAGUCAACUUGAAUUUGGGUUUUUAACUUAGGUUUGGGUGGCGGACGGGUGAGUAACGCGUAAAGAACUUGCCUCACAGCUAGGGACAACAUUUGGAAACGAAUGCUAAUACCUAAUAUUAUGAUAAUAGGGCAUCCUAUAAUUAUGAAAGCUAUAAGCGCUGUGAGAGAGCUUUGCGUCCCAUUAGCUAGUUGGAGAGGUAACGGCUCACCAAGGCGAUGAUGGGUAGCCGGCCUGAGAGGGUGAUCGGCCACAAAGGGACUGAGGCACGGCCCUUACUCCUACUGGAGGCAGCAGUGGAGAAUAGUGGACAAUAGACCAAGAGUCUGAUCCAGCAAUUCUGUGUGCACGAUGAAGUUUUUCGGAAUGUAAAGUGCUUUCAGUUGGGAAGAAAGAAAUGACGGUACCAACAGAAGAAGUGACGGCUAAAUACGUG